RNAcentral lists this ribosomal RNA (481 nucleotides) under Agrobacterium tumefaciens. RNAcentral describes it as "bacterial SSU rRNA". It matches the Rfam family "Bacterial small subunit ribosomal RNA", at positions 94 to 610 of the family's 1533-position model. Lineage: Bacteria; Pseudomonadati; Pseudomonadota; Alphaproteobacteria; Hyphomicrobiales; Rhizobiaceae. The record is from RNAcentral.
AGUGGCAGACGGGUGAGUAACGCGUGGGAACAUACCCUUUUCUACGGAAUAGCUCUGGGAAACUGGAAUUAAUACCGUAUACGCCCUACGGGGGAAAGAUUUAUCGGGGAAGGAUUGGCCCGCGUUGGAUUAGCUAGUUGGUGGGGUAAAGGCCUACCAAGGCGACGAUCCAUAGCUGGUCUGAGAGGAUGAUCAGCCACAUUGGGACUGAGACACGGCCCAAACUCCUACGGGAGGCAGCAGUGGGGAAUAUUGGACAAUGGGCGCAAGCCUGAUCCAGCCAUGCCGCGUGAGUGAUGAAGGCCUUAGGGUUGUAAAGCUCUUUCACCGAUGAAGAUAAUGACGGUAGUCCGAGAAUAAGCCCCGGCUAACUUCGUGCCAGCAGCCGCGGUAAUACCAAGGGGGCUAGCAUUGUUCGGAAUUACUGGCCGUAAAGCGCACGUAGGCGGAUAUUUAAGUCAAGGGUGAAAUCCCUGAGCUC